Molecule: non-coding RNA, 2279 nt
Organism: Oryctolagus cuniculus (rabbit)
Lineage: Eukaryota; Metazoa; Chordata; Mammalia; Lagomorpha; Leporidae
Source: RefSeq, a predicted model, not a curated record
AUGUCAUUAAUGAACCUUAUUACAUGUCGGUGAAGGGGUAAGUUUAGAAAUUGAAAAUAAGAAGUAUGAAAUUUCUGUAGCAAUUUGAUUUUGUUACAGCCUCAAAUAUAAAAUCAUUGUUCAAAUAAUUUUUUUUUUUUUAACAGGCAGAGUAGACAGUGAGAGAGAGAGAGACAGAGAGAAAGGUCUUCCUUUUUGCCGUUGGUUCACCCUCCAAUGGCCACCACGGCCGGCGCGCUGCGGCUGGUGCACUGUGCUGAUCCAAUGGCAGGAGCCAGGUACUUAUCCUGGUCUCCCAUGGGGUGCAGGGCCCAAGGACUUGGGCCAUCCUCCACUGCACUCCCGGGCCACAGCAGAGGGCUGGCCUGGAAGAGGGGCAACCGGGACAGAAUCCGGCGCCCCGACCGGGACUAGAACCCAGUGUGCCGGCGCCGCAAGGCGGAGGAUUAGCCUAGUGAGCCGUGGCACCGGCCUCAAAUAAUUUUUAUUUUAUCUAAUGAAAUGUCAAUCUGCAGUGAAUUUGAAAUUAAAAAAAAAAUCUGGUACUUCAACAGAAAUAGGGAAGCACUGAUUUAAACAUUUAUUCAAGGGGCCAGCGCCAUGGCACACUAGGUUAAUCCUCUGCCUGCGGCGCUGGCAUCGCAUAUGGGUGCGGGUUCUAGUCCUGAUUACUCCUCUUCCAGUCCAGCUCUCUGCUGUGGCCUGGGAAAGCAGUGGAGGAUGGCCCAGGUGCUUGGGUCCCUGCACCUGCAUGGGAGACCAGGAAGAAGCACCUGGUUCCUGGUUUCGGAUUGGUGCAGUGCUGGCCAUAGCAGCCAUUUAGAGAUUGAACCAACGGAAGGAAGACCUUUCUCUCUGUCUCUCUCUCACUGUCUGUAACUCUACCUGUCAAAUAAAUAAAAUCUUUUUAAAAAAUUUAUUCAAACUUUUGUAUUUGUAUGCUUUUAUUCACAUGAUCUUGUCUGCUUAUUUAAGUGAAGAUGUAAUUCCUUUUAUUUCUCCUAAAUAAUUUUUAUUGUCUUUUUAAAUGUGCUCUCGGGAGUUUAUGUGGUACAGUCUUAGAAUUUUGACCAUGUCUUCUAUUUUUACCUUUCCAAACUGAAGAAUAACAACAGUCUUUUUGGACUUUAUUGACCUGGUAGUCUCCUCAUUUCCCCCAUAAUUUUAGCUGCCCUGGUAGUUCAUUGUAAUGUCAUACACGUUUAAUGUAUACUUACAGCAAUUUGUUUAUGGAUAAGCUAAUUUUGUUUUGCUUUAGGGUGUAUGUGUUUUCUCUUUUCCUAAGCUUCUUUUUCUUUUUUUAUUUUUUAUUUGACAGGUAGAGAUAUAGACAGUGAGAGAGAGAGAGAAAGGUCUUCCUUCUAUUGGUUCACCCCCCAAAUGGUUGCUAUGGCCGGCGCUGUGCCGAUCCAAAGCCAGGACCCAGGUGCUUCUUCCUGGUCUCCCACGCAGGUGCAGGGGCCCAAGCACUUGGGUCAUCCUCCACUGUCCUCCCAGGCCGCAGCAGAGAGUUGGACUGGAAGAGGAGCAACCGGGACAGAAUCCGGCGCCCAUAUGUGAUGCCGGCGCCACAGGUGGAAGAUUAACCAAGUGAGCCAUGGCACCGGCCCUCAUUGAUGAGAAAAAAAGGAAGUAAAAGAAGUAUUAUACAGUAGCAAUAACAAAACAAGUAGGUCAACCAGGAAUGAUCUGUCAAUAGAGAAAUUCAUAUGUAAGCAAAACAAAACAUCCACUGUAAGUGACAAACUGAAAUGCCUUCUCUAGGUACACAGUUCUACUAAGAAUUAGUAAGCUGUGUGGGCUGGACUACUGCUGAAGAGCUGUAUUCAUGUAGUGAUGAUCACCAGAUAGUGAAGUGGAACUUGUUAACCAGUGAAACAAGUCAAAUAGUAAAGCUUCCUGAUGACAUUUACCCUAUAGAUCUUCACUGGUUCCCAAAAAGUUUUGGUGUAAAGAAACAGACUCAAGCAGAAAGCUUUGUCCUCACAAGUUCUGAUGGUAAAUUUCAUCUGAUUUCGAAGUUAGGAAGAGUAGAAAAAAGUGUAGAAGCUCACUGUGGAGCAGUACUUGCAGGAAGAUGGAAUUAUGAAGGAACAGCAUUAGUUACAGUUGGAGAAGAUGGACAAAUAAAAAUUUGGUCAAAGACUGGGAUGCUCAGAUCAACAUUAGCUCAACAAGGAACACCAGUGUAUUCAGUAGCGUGGGGCCCUGAUUCAGAAAAGGUUCUUUACACAGCAGGCAAGCAGCUGAUCAUUAAACCUCUUCAACCGAAUGCUAAG